This is a long non-coding RNA of Apodemus sylvaticus (European woodmouse), 684 nucleotides long. RefSeq lists it as uncharacterized. The record is from RefSeq and is a predicted model, not a curated record. The transcript has 3 exons. NCBI's taxonomy places the organism in Eukaryota, Metazoa, Chordata, Mammalia, Rodentia, Muridae.
AGUCCAGCUGCAAAUCAACACAAAAUGUGGUGAAAUGGGGGCAGGACUGUCUGUCAGGAGGGGCAGUGUGACCUCGACACAGCCCUCACUGCCUCACUGUUCUCGGGCCCCAUGCUCACGUGGGAACGGUUACAACAGAUGCUAUUUCUGACUACCAUGAGGCUGCCCACCACUGACAGAAACUCAGCAUUACCACUGACAGGAGCUCAGCAUUACCUGGCUAUAAUUGAGGAUCUUGAAGACAGACUCGGAGACAAAGAGGAUCUUCCCUCGGUCACAUCCUACGACAAACAAAAAUCCAUCUGCUGCCUAAUCAGGAGAAAUGGAUAAUCAAUUUAUCACAGCUUGCCAGGAUCCCCUCUCUCUCUCCCGCUGCUCCUGACUGCAGGUGUGGUGCUUUAAGUAGUAACGGACCGGGUGAAUUGUGAGUAUAAGCCAAAUAAGCCCUUUCUCACAUCAUGGUGCUGCUCACCAGGGUACUUUAACACAGGGAUAGAAAUGAAACUUGAACCACCACCAGAGAACAUAGACUCUAAGGCUGCACAGACCAUUUAAGAUCAAAUUUUCAGUCUUUAUUAUCCACCUAUCCUGAAUGAGAAUGCCCUUGUUUAUAGGGAGUGCUUCAGACCUCCAAGCUUCAACAUCUCAAGUUGGGUCAUUUUGCCUUUUUCACUUUUGCUGAUG